Molecule: ribosomal RNA, 253 nt
Filed under: uncultured bacterium
Lineage: Bacteria
Description: partial 16S ribosomal RNA
Rfam family: Bacterial small subunit ribosomal RNA
Source: RNAcentral
UACGGAGGGGGCUAGCGUUGUUCGGAAUUACUGGGCGUAAAGCGCGUGUAGGCGGUCCGGUAAGUCCGCUGUGAAAGUCGGGGGCUCAACCCUCGGAUGCCGGUGGAUACUGUCGGGCUUGAGUACGGAAGAGGCGAGUGGAAUUCCUGGUGUAGCGGUGAAAUGCGCAGAUAUCAGGAGGAACACCAAUUGCGAAGGCAGCUCGCUGGGACGUUACUGACGCUGAGACGCGAAAGCGUGGGGAGCAAACAGG